UGGGGAAUAUUGGACAAUGGGGGGAACCCUGAUCCAGCCAUGCCGCGUGUGUGAAGAAGGCCUUAUGGUUGUAAAGCACUUUAAGCGAGGAGGAGGGUACUGGUAUUAAUACUACCAGCUACUGGAUGUUACUCGCAGAAUAAGCACCGGCUAACUCUGUGCCAGCAGCCGCGGUAAUACAGAGGGUGCGAGCGUUAAUCGGAUUUACUGGGCGUAAAGCGUGCGUAGGCGGCUAAUUGAGUCGGAUGUGAAAUCCCCGAGCUUAACUUGGGAAUUGCAUUCGAUACUGGUUAGCUAGAGUGUGGGAGAGGAUGGUAGAAUUCCAGGUGUAGCGGAGAAAUGCGUAGAGAUCUGGAGGAAUACCGAUGGCGAAGGCAGCCAUCUGGCCUAACACUGACGCUGAGGUACGAAAGCAUGGGGAGCAAACAGG
This 430-nucleotide ribosomal RNA is filed under the name Pseudomonadota bacterium. RNAcentral's name for it is "Proteobacteria bacterium partial 16S ribosomal RNA". It matches the Rfam family "Bacterial small subunit ribosomal RNA", at positions 355 to 776 of the family's 1533-position model. The record is from RNAcentral. Lineage: Bacteria; Pseudomonadati; Pseudomonadota.